AUAAUCUAUAGAUUAUAUAGAGAAGAUAUAUAGAGAUAUAGAGAAGAUUACCAUGGCCCCUGUGCAAGGAUGACAUGCAAAUUCGUGAAGCGUUCCAUAUUUUU
This is a small nuclear RNA of Perognathus longimembris pacificus (Pacific pocket mouse), 104 nucleotides long. NCBI's taxonomy places the organism in Eukaryota, Metazoa, Chordata, Mammalia, Rodentia, Heteromyidae. The record is from RefSeq and is a predicted model, not a curated record.